This 274-nucleotide ribosomal RNA is filed under the name uncultured bacterium. RNAcentral describes it as "partial 16S ribosomal RNA". It matches the Rfam family "Bacterial small subunit ribosomal RNA", at positions 523 to 796 of the family's 1533-position model. The record is from RNAcentral.
AUACGGAGGGUCUAAGCGUUAUCCGGAUUUAUUAGGUUUAAAGGGUGUGUAGGCGGUAUUUUAAGUCAGAGGUGAAAGCCCAUCGCUCAACGAUGGAACUGCCUUUGAUACUGGUUGACUUGAGUUAUACGGAAGUAGAUAGAAUAAGUAGUGUAGCGGUGAAAUGCAUAGAUAUUACUUAGAAUACCGAUUGCGAAGGCAGUCUACUACGUAUAUACUGACGCUGAGGGACGAAAGCGUGGGGAGCGAACAGGAUUAGAUACCCUAGUAGUCC